Molecule: ribosomal RNA, 1454 nt
Filed under: Cononympha aurea
Lineage: Eukaryota; Parabasalia; Holomastigotoidida; Holomastigotoididae
Description: SSU rRNA
Rfam family: Eukaryotic small subunit ribosomal RNA
Source: RNAcentral
AAGUUAAGUUCAGCCCUUAGACAAAACUGCGUACAGCUGCUUAAUACGCUCAGAACCUAGUUGGUAAAACUCGAUAGAGUCAACAGGGAUAGCCGCAGCAAUUCUGGGGCUAAUACCAACUCGAAAGAGGGAACCACUAUAAAGGAAAGAAAAGUGGGUAGAAGACCGGGAUGGCGAGCCAUCAGGUUGAGCGCGCUAUCAGCUAGUCGGUAGGUUCUUUGCCUACGGAGGCGAUAACGGCUAACGGGGAAUGAUCGUUCUAAUUCCGCAGAAGUGGCCUGAGAGACAGCCACUAUUCCCAUGGGAAGCAGCAGGCGUGAAACUUCCCCACUCGACUUCUGUCGGAGGGGGUUACGGACAGUUCCAAUGUCUCGCAAGAGCGUGGGAAAGGGCCACAUCAAGCCAGUGUGGCGAACGCAAGGAGAGGACUAGCUCUGGUGCCAGCACCCGCGGUAAUACCAGCUCUCCUAGUUUGCAUCCAAUGCUACUUUUAAAACGCCCGUAGUCUGAGUAAGUGGCACGCAAGUGCGCUCACGGUGAAUAAAUCAGGACGCGUAGAGUAGUUCAUAACUGAAUGACUGAGCACCGCCUGAGGUCUUUACCUGUCAGGGUAAGAUCAAAGAGAGCUACCGGGGUCAGGGCUAUUCGAGGUCGAGCGGCGGAAUGUGUUGACACCUCGGAGAGGAACAGAGGCGAAAGCGUCUGGCAUGGGAGUUUCUGUCGAUCAAGGGCGAGAGUCGCAGGAUCCAACCGGAUUAGGCACCCGGGUAGUUGCGACCUUAAACGAUGCCGACAGCGCCGAAUCUGCAAGGGUUUGGCGACAGCAGAAAUGUAUAGUCAUAGGGCUAAGGGGGAAAUACGGCCGCAAGACUGAAACUUGAAGGAAUUGACGGAGGUCUACACAAGGCGUGGAGCCUGUGGCUCAAUCUGACUCAACACGGGGAAGCUUACCAUUCUUGGACAAUUGAAUGACUGACCAGCUAAAGACUGUUCAGGAUCCUUUGAUGAUUGGUGCAUGGCCAUAGCUGGUGCGUUGUGUGGACAGUCUAUAGUCGAUUCGGGUAACGAGCGAGACGACCAUCACUUAAAGCAAACUAGAGUUGAAAAACCCUAGGGAGCACUAAGUGAGACUCCCUGCAUAGAAGCAGGCGGAAGAGGGUCGCAAUUAUAGGUCCGUGAUGCCAUUAGUUAAAAUGGGCUGCACGCGUGCUACAAUGUAGGUGAGAAAGUGUCGCGAAGCCGAGAGGCUGAGCAACGCACGGAAUCGCCUGCGUGGUUGGGAUUGACGUUUGUCAUCAGCGUCAUGAACUAGGAAUGCCUUGUAAGCGUGUGUCAACAUCGCACGUUGAAUAAGUCACUUGACUUUGUACACACCGCCCGUCGCUCCUACCGAUUGGGUGAGCCGGUGAAUUUGCUGGAGGCGCAAGCUGAAGGCAUGUGAACCUGCUGAUUUA